RNAcentral lists this ribosomal RNA (445 nucleotides) under uncultured bacterium. RNAcentral's name for it is "bacterial SSU rRNA". It matches the Rfam family "Bacterial small subunit ribosomal RNA", at positions 330 to 792 of the family's 1533-position model. The record is from RNAcentral.
UCCAGACUCCUACGGGAGGCAGUAGUGGGGGAUAUUGCACAAUGGGGGAAACCCUGAUGCAGCGACGCCGCGUGAGCGAUGAAGUAUUUCGGUAUGUAAAGCUCUAUCAGCAGGGAAGAAAAUGACGGUACCUGACUAAGAAGCCCCGGCUAACUACGUGCCAGCAGCCGCGGUAAUACGUAGGGGGCAAGCGUUAUCCGGAUUUACUGGGUGUAAAGGGAGCGUAGACGGCAGGGCAAGUCUGGAGUGAAAGGCAGGGGCCCAACCCCUGGACUGCUCUGGAAACUGUCCGGCUGGAGUGCAGGAGAGGUAAGUGGAAUUCCUAGUGUAGCGGUGAAAUGCGUAGAUAUUAGGAGGAACACCAGUGGCGAAGGCGGCUUGCUGGACUGUAACUGACGUUGAGGCUCGAAAGCGUGGGGAGCAAACAGGAUUAGAUACCCUCGUA